AGCCCGUGAUGUUUUAAGAGUAGUGGACAGAAGGGAUUUCUGAAUUUAUGUUCUGAGGCU
RNAcentral lists this small nucleolar RNA (60 nucleotides) under Carlito syrichta (Philippine tarsier). Its description in RNAcentral is "Small nucleolar RNA SNORD75 (ENSTSYG00000019803.2)". It matches the Rfam family "Small nucleolar RNA SNORD75". From Rfam's summary of the family: U75 (SNORD75) belongs to the C/D class of snoRNAs which contain the C (UGAUGA) and D (CUGA) box motifs. Most of the members of the box C/D family function in directing site-specific 2'-O-methylation of substrate RNAs. This family includes the mouse orthologue Z19. The record is from Rfam by way of RNAcentral. Lineage: Eukaryota; Metazoa; Chordata; Mammalia; Primates; Tarsiidae.